This 60-nucleotide transfer RNA is filed under the name Stygobromus indentatus. RNAcentral describes it as "tRNA-Phe". The record is from RNAcentral. Lineage: Eukaryota; Metazoa; Arthropoda; Malacostraca; Amphipoda; Crangonyctidae.
AUUUAAAUAGCUUAAAUAAAGCAGCACUUUGAAGCAGUGAAGAUGUUUAUACUUUAAGUA